RNAcentral lists this long non-coding RNA (488 nucleotides) under Nicotiana benthamiana. RNAcentral describes it as "long non-coding RNA (NBEN_LNC009233)". Lineage: Eukaryota; Viridiplantae; Streptophyta; Magnoliopsida; Solanales; Solanaceae. The record is from RNAcentral.
AAAAAGCUCUCCUCAGUUUUAGAUUUGGUGUGAAAUUCAAUAUUAAAAAAAUAAAAAGAACAACACAAAAAAUAGAAAACAAACCAAAAACUCAAAAAAAUCACUAUUACAUUGCCUAUUUUUAGUCCCUGAAAAUAAUGGUAUUUUUAUUGUUCUCACUCACUGAGUGCAUUCUGAAGUCAUUUGGAGUUCAAUUGUGGAUGGUUUAGGUUUAUUCGAGUGGGUUGUGGUGUUAUACAUUGUUGUAGCUGAUUUCUGGGUGCAUUUCAAAUAUUGUGGAACUGGUUGGGAUUGAUUCAAACAAUUCUCAACUGUUGUUCUUACAUCUGGAAUAGUUCGAGUAUAUUUGGUUGUGUCUUCAGCGAGUUAUAAUUGAUUGCAUGUGUUUGUUUGGGUUCAAUCAUUUCCUGGGCUGUCUAUGAUCAAUUGCUGCUGCUACUGACCUUUCUCCUCCUUAUUUCUAUUCAAUUCCAGGUACACUGCUCAAC